This 476-nucleotide ribosomal RNA is filed under the name uncultured organism. RNAcentral's name for it is "partial 16S ribosomal RNA". It matches the Rfam family "Bacterial small subunit ribosomal RNA", at positions 334 to 801 of the family's 1533-position model. The record is from RNAcentral.
CACUCCUGCGGGAGGCAGCAGUGGGGAAUUUUGGACAAUGGGCGAAAGCCUGAUCCAGCAAUGCCGCGUGAGUGAAGAAGGCCUUCGGGUUGUAAAGCUCUUUUGUCAGGGAAGAAACGGUGAAAGCUAAUAUCUUUUGCUAAUGACGGUACCUGAAGAAUAAGCACCGGCUAACUACGUGCCAGCAGCCGCGGUAAUACGUAGGGUGCAAGCGUUAAUCGGAAUUACUGGGCGUAAAGCGUGCGCAGGCGGUUUUGUAAGUCUGAUGUGAAAUCCCCGGGCUCAACCUGGGAAUUGCAUUGGAGACUGCAAGGCUAGAAUCUGGCAGAGGGGGGUAGAAUUCCACGUGUAGCAGUGGAAUGCGUAGAUAUGUGGAGGAACACCGAUGGCGAAGGCAGCCCCCUGGGUCAAGAUUGACGCUCAUGCACGAAAGCGUGGGGAGCAAACAGGAUUAGAAACCCGAGUAGUCCCAUGAU